GUAGCCUGAGGUAGUUGUUUGUACAGUUUGAGGGUCUGUGAUUCUACCCCUUACAGGAGCUAACUGUACAAGUGACUGCCUUGCCUAC
Non-coding RNA from Poecilia formosa (Amazon molly), 88 nucleotides. The record is from Rfam. Lineage: Eukaryota; Metazoa; Chordata; Actinopteri; Cyprinodontiformes; Poeciliidae.